Long non-coding RNA from Mus musculus (house mouse), 13862 nucleotides. RefSeq annotates it as predicted gene, 46899. NCBI's taxonomy places the organism in Eukaryota, Metazoa, Chordata, Mammalia, Rodentia, Muridae. The record is from RefSeq and is a predicted model, not a curated record. The transcript has 2 exons.
UAUCCAUGGGCUUAUUUGAAAGAUAGAAAGUAUCUCUAAAUGAAGGUGGAGGAGAUGGGAAGAGGCUCAGUCCAUGAAGCACUUGCCCUGCAAGCAUGGGAACUUGACAUUUCCAGUCACCAAGAAGGUCAGAGUACAUAUGGUAACCUGUCUCGAGGCCCAGCACUUGGGAGGCAGAGAUGGCAUCUCUGGGGCAAAGCAGACUAGCUGAAUCAGUUAGGCUCCUAGUCUGAGUGUGAGGUAAGAGGAUCAAGAGUUCAAAGCCAGACUGGGUAACUUAUCAACACUCUGUUUCAAAAUUUAAAAAGCCUGAUGGUUCACACCUGUAAUCCCAGAACUCAGGAGGCUAAGUCAGGCAGAUCUCUGUGAGUUUGAGGCUAGCCUAAGUCUACAUAGCAAGUUCUUGGCCAGCCAGGCCUACACAGUGAGAUCCUGUCAAAGAAAAAACAAAACAUCAAAAUACUAAGGGCUGUCUUAUCAGUGAUUCAGAGCUUGAAUCCCAUCAAAUGAGCACACUGAGCGUGUGUGGAUGUCUUGUCAUCAUUCCCGAACGAUACGGCAUACUGACUGACACAGCAUUUACCUUAUAUUAGAUACAGCAAACAACUGUGAGACAGUGAAAUCCAAGGGAAGGUGCACACAGGCUCUAUGCAAAUAUUUUGUGUAGGAGACCUGAGGAUUCUUGGGUCCUGGUAUCUCUGGGAUGUCCAGAGUCCAAUGCACCCUGGUACUGAGGCGGCACUUGGCUUCAUUAUCUCCAUAGGAAAUGGACUAACAUCGGUGACUCCCAUUUUCAGAGGGCUUAAGCGACUUCUGAGCUCUAUUCCUAAGGUUUCUGAGCCCACAGGCCUGGGCGAGGCCCAGCGGUUACAUUUCUCACAAGUUCUCAAGGGGAUGCCGGGGAUGCUAGUAGGGACCACAUUUCAAGGAGCAUGGCUCAGGCCCUGGCUUGCUUCCACUGUGAAAGAACAUCCCUUUUCCUCCCCGUGCUUGGCUGCUCUGCAGGUGAUCGUCCACUUUAGGACCGUCUGGUUAGAUAGCAUCCGUGGGAUCUUACGAGAGUAGCAGUGGGUCGGGGAUGGUGUAUAGACGUUGUGACCCUUGACCAGUUUGGUUUGGGCAGGAUCUGCUGGACUGGCUGGUUAAGUUGGGAUUUUUCUCAUGCAGUCUUUGCAAGCAAGAAACUAAAACUCCUGUCUGUGUUCACAGGUAAGAGUACUGAGUUCUGUGUCACCCAGUCUUAGAAGCAAUGGUCCCCAGUGAGACGUGGAACCCUGCUCCUUUCACUGGAGGAUGGUGUUUAGGAACCAGGACUUGGGUGCUGUGUACACUCCCUGAUGCUGGGUCACUGCUUCGAGGCUCCAUCAGUGCACAGAGCUAGUACACACUUGUAUGUAUACAGACACAUGCAACCACAGCAAUCCAUCUGUCGUAUGUUAAAAUAAACAUGACUCCGUAUUAACAGCGGAAAAGAACUUUACAAUGUUCAUUUGUGAAAAGAAACAAGAGUUUCCUAGACAUGGCACUGGCAACAGGAGACACGCUGCAAAGACUACCCAGUGAUACGUCAGACUGCAAAAGAGGAGCUAGAACCCGGUAGGCACACAAAAGGCUGGUACAGUCACAUGCCUGGCCAUUCUCACCCCAGAUCCUAAAUUUCCAACAAUAUUGAAAAAUGUAAGUAUAAAGGAAACCACUCAUUGUCAUGGAUAACUUGGUGGUUGCAAAGAUCAGAAAGAAAACACCACACAACCAAUCACUGCCCAAGAAUCAAGAACGGCUUGUUGAAGCUGCGUGUGGUAGCACCACCUUUGAACCCAGAGCUCAGGUGGCAGAGGCAGGUAGAUCUGAGUUCAAACCCAGCCUGGCCUACGUGGUGAGUUCCAGGCCAGCCAGAUCUACACAGUAAGACCCACUUUCAGAAAACCAUAAAACAACAAACAAGAACAGAUAGUUAGGGCUUGACUUAUCUGAUGGCAGCCUUUCCCAUCAUGCAAAGCACCACACAGCCAAUCAGGGGACUUCUCUGUCUCUCUGAUAGGAAUUCUUAACUCUCAAAGGGAUUCACUGGAAAUAUUCACUGAAAAUAUUCCUUUAUCUUUAAAGUUCCUAAGCUGUACCAAAGGCUUAGAGAAAAAUUUUCAAGAAGUCAGACAUCCACAGACUGUUCUAAGUUUAGAAAACAUGGACUCUGCUGCUGGAAGUGGAGACAUCCAGGGGCCUGAGCAUCUGCUAUCGAUGAGAGGGAGGCUAUGCCAAGAGACCCCGAGCCUGCUGCACCACUGCUUGCUCCUGGUGUUGGACAUCCUAUUUUAAGCUUUAGAACUCAAUUAAUGUUCAUAGUUCUACUGAAUGGUUUCUGACCUGAGAUCCAGAGAUUUAAAAUAUCAGGGCCUGGACCUGGAGAGAUGGCUCAGCAGUUACAAGCACUGGCUGCUCUUCCAGAGGACCUGGGUUUCAGUUCUCAGCACCCACAUGGCAGCUCACAGUUGUCCGUACUGCGAGUCUCAGGGGACCCAACCCAUUCUUCUGGUCUCAUUGGGGAUCAGAUACAAGCAAUUCAUAAACAUGUAUGCAGACAGAACCCCAGUGCACAUAAAAACUGGCUCAGCCACUAGGAGUACUUGUUGCUCUUACACAGGACUCACGUUUAGUUCCCAGCACCCACACGAUGGCUCAGAACCAUGAGUAACUCCAGUUCCAGAGCUCUGUGGCAGAUGCCAUGCAGGAGAGACUACAGUGGGCGGGUGAGCUUCCUGGAGACAGUACACUGUUUUGCACAGUUGCAAUGGAGGUAGCUUGGAGAGGCACAGACCCUGUAUAACAUCUUGCAGUUGCUGUGCCUUCUCACAUCUGUCCUUGCUAUCUGCCUCCUGAAUCUGGCAUGGUGGAAUUGAGUGUGGGGAGACCCUCACUGCCCAUAGUCUGGUGUGACUGCUUCCUGGGAGACCGCCCACUCUCUUGGGCAAUUUCCUGUAGAUCAAAACGAAGAUGAACUUUCUCGAUAUGAUGCUGUUUAGAUGAAUUCCUGGUUUCGUCUUUUUGGGGAGUUAGGGGAGCUGACAGAAAGUUUAAGAAGACGGUUUAGAUUGUUCUGACAGAAAGAUAUAGUUAUUAGAAUGAGGAGCAGAACGUGCCCCCUCCCUUGUAGAACAGCGAGGGCUGCAGAAGUUAGAGAAGGCAUGCAGUGAGCUUCCAUGCCUUACAAGCUUGUAACUGUACUAGGAAGAGAAAGUAACAAGUUAAUGAUCAAAGGAAACACUUCCUUCCAGAUAGGGCCUGAGUUCCUGGAGCUUGUGAUCUAGGGAUGUAGUCACUGGUUUCAGUGUGCGCCAUGAAAAGAUAGGGUUAUGGAUAAAGAAUAAGUAUUUCUGAGUAUGAGAAUAGAGAACAGGUGAUUAGCCAGUUUAGCUAAACAAGACGCCAGAAACAAGAUGUAAGACAGAUGAUUUGUUUCUUGAUAAAUUCAAACUGUCAUCAGCUAAGCGUAGGGAAAAACUUGCUACUAUAGAGUGCCUCGCUUAAACUUGGUUAAUAAAUGGCAAAAAGAAUUAUUGCUUUGGGGUUACAAUGAACCCGUGCAGAGAAAAGACAGACAGGAAAUGUGUAGUUAGGUAUGAGUUUCGAAAGAAGAACGCAUCCGCCAUAAUCCUGUUGUAAUUCUCCUGUGUAAUAAUUUUAAUGUUUUUGAAGACUAUGUGAUUUUGUGGUGAUUGUUUUUAGAGAAUAUGUAACAUGGCUAUGAGGCAAUCCUUGUCUAACAUAGAGAAUUUUGUCUUAGGGGCUAAGGGAAAAAACAAAGUGGUUAGAUCUUGCUUUAUCCACAAAGUGUGUGAGUGUGUGCCAGCUUUAGUUUGGUCAUUGACCCCACAUCCCCUCUCCUUGGAUGGCUGACCAUGCUGUCUGAGCUAGUGUCAACAGAUAUAGCGCCCUCUUCUGGCCAUCACAAGUAUUGCAUUCACAUGACGCACUUAUAUGCAGGCAAAAUACUCAAAAUGUAUCUAAAAAAAAUGUUUAAGUUAAAUCAUUCUCCCAGAACCUGUACUGUGGAAUUAAACCUUUUGCUAUACUGUAGCACACUCUGCAACAACUGUUCCAGCUCACUCCUCUGUUUUCUGGUGCUCCCCUCCCCCCUCAAUUCACUGUCCUCCAAACAUAGGAAUUUUCCAUGCCUCUGGGCCUUAGCUAAUGUCGCCCUUUUCCCAGUCUACCUGUGAACUUCUGAUGCUCUGUAAGCUCAGCUAGCACUUUCAAGAUGGGGCAAUAACAGGGCUGGCUGAGCUAAGUGGAUCACCUCCAGAAGCCAGGGACACCUCCCUUCUAAGUCCCAUAUACCCAACAACUGAAGGGUUCCCCUCUUCACUUAGAGAGGAGAAAGCCAUGGCUUACUUAGCCAAGCUCAGGCUGUUUAAGAUCAGGACGGAGAUCAGAACACAGGCUAGAAUCCAAAGUGUUGUUCUUUCCACUGAGCCCAGGUGCCCUUCCCGGUCUUGCCCUCUGUCUUAAGAGAAAAACCUCAGCCAACAGUACACACUUACUUUCCUAUACGCCAUCCCACUACUGGCAAGACUAUGGGCUUUCGGGACGCAGGACUCUGGCAAAGGCGGAGCGAGAGCUCGGUGGAAGGAGUACUCUUUUCUAAUUUAAGCACCUGGGAGCCAAGUUAUUGAUGAGGUCAUUUACCGACGGGCCAAGGACUCAGCAGAUUUCCCUGCCACAGUGGAUCUAUGCACCAACCAGCAGUUCUUACUGCUUCCUUCAGUGGGCGGAGAGGGAUUGGAUGAAAUGGUCAAAACGCAGCGGAGCUGACUUGGAAGGCAGAUGAAAAAAAAAAAAAACGCUGUGUUUUCCUGGCAUCCAGCCUUCGUUUUGUUUUGUUUUUUGUUUUUUUUUUUUCUUUUUUCCCAGCUCAGGUAAAGAGAUGAUGUCACUACACAGUGCUGGCCCAGAGGCCUGGAAGCAAGACCCUACCAUGUGACGUCCUCACAGACACAAGCUGGAAUUUCCUAGCAGAGCAAUGUCACUUUUCUGCAGCCACUGGUGCUGCACACUAAAAAUAUCACUGACCCCUAACUGUCAGGUGCCCCCCUUUGCACUUGGGAAAUGGGCUCUGCAAACGACCAGCGCGGAGCUCACCGGCACCCAAGGUAGAGCCUGUGAUAAGUUACCGAAGUGUUAAACAAGUCCGUCAGGUGAACUUGCUGUGUCAACACGAACUUUUCAUGAUGUGAAACAAAAGAAAUAUUUUCCUAGGACCACCUCAGAUGCAUGCUUGGGCACGGAUAGCUGCAGAUGCGAGGCCCAGGCAGAAAGGCGUGUCAUACACGCUGAGCCACUUAGAGUCUUGUUGCCAGAGUGGGAGAAAGUUUGCCUUGGCAGGUAAAUGAAUGAAGGGGCAACCAUCAAAUACCAUCUGCUAUUUUAAAACACGCUAUUUGUGUCUCAAGUGCACAUGUGCCUCCUGUUGCUAUUUGGACGGGGGACGAGAAGCCGUCUCUCGUUCCAUUUACAGCCUUUGGCUUCAGCAGCAGCAAGGGCUGACCAGGCAGGAGGAGGUAUGGCUGUGACUAUUUCUGUGAAGAACUGUAAUUGCUGCUUAGGAAACCUCCUAAAUGUUUCAGGAAGCUCGGAAAGAUGGGGACAUGAAGUCACUUCAUUCCUUCCCAGAAUACACGGGGCCACCGGAGUCCAUUAGGCUGCUGCUCCUUGACAAGCCACUCGUCCAAUAAGAGAGCCAGAGGCGCAAGAGGAGCAGCGGCACGCUUAUUCUCCAGGGAUCCUCCCCUCCAAGGUUUCAUGGGGUGCCCACGGAGCUCGGCUGUCCCUGCAGAGCAUUAAGUAGGAAAGAGCCCCAAGGUACUGCAAGAACUGACCUUGCUGUCAAUAAAGGACGGAUCCACCUGAGAGUCAAGGCAGUGAAUUAGAACCAAAGAGAAUAGGGCUCCGGCCAAGGUCAGUGCCCACUUCAUUCAGUGCCCCUUUAAGUACAUGAACUUUCCAAAAGGCAGUCAAAUCCAUGGGUGGCCUCAACGAUUACAGGUCACUGAGAAAAUGCAAUACACAAUGAAGCCCAUAAUUUCAGACAAUGAGUAGAGUAUAUGUUAAUAAAAGAAAUAUGAUAAACAGAAAAGGAGACAUCAGACAGACACAGGGGGAUUGGAUUAUGCCAAAGCUGGAGGUUUUUCAAAGCCAGAGUGCUAGCCUGGGACCUGGAGGGCAGACAGGAAGACAUGAGGGUGGGAGGAAAGCUAACUGAUUUGUACGAAGGAAAUUCAGAGCAAAACCCCUAAUACUUGAGGACUGAGAAGCAAAGCCGGCAGGACUGUCAGAGGCAUGAACAGGGUACUCAAGUGAAGACAGGUUGUAGUUCCACGGUUAUCGGUGUUAGCGAAAGCCACUUAAAAUCCUUGGGGAAGAGUCUGGGGAAGAGGGACAGGAAGAGACUCACAUUGUACCUGAACUAGGGCUAUAGAGCUGUAAUAACCAAGACAGCUCAAGCUUUGUUAACCAAAAAGGGUCUAAAACAUGCGAACUCAGCCUCUGGCUGAAGAGAAUAUAGUCUGAUGCACAAAACAUAGGCCACCAGGUUAUAUCCCCCACAGCCCAACACAGCUUCUCAACAUACAGAGACACGCUGAGCCGGGCAUGGUGGGUGCACACCUUUAGUCUCAGUGCUGGGGAGGCAGAAGCAGGUGGACCCCUGGGAGGUUAAGGCCAGCCUGGUUUACCCAGUAAGUGCCAGGGCUAUGUAAAGUCCCUGAGUUAAAAAAGAAAAAAAAAAAAAAGGGAGGGAGGGAAAUACACACUGAGAAAUAUCUGGCACAUAAGUGAUUUCCCCCAUCUGAAAGGUAAGAUGUGACAGCAGUAACAAGCUACUGCCGUUUCUAUGGUGGCUUGUUUUUUCUAACCAAGUUAUUAAAACCAAUUUCUUGCUUUUGUUUUAUUUGUUUGAUCCUGGCUGUCAUGUACCUCAAACUCACUAUUUAGCCAAGAUGGACCAUCAACCUCCUUAUUCUUCUACCUCCACCUCCAGAUGCAGGGGUUACAGGCACACGUGCCACACAUGCCCCUCCCACUUCCCGUUCUUCAUCUGGCACAGAUGUCUUUUAUCUAUCUCACUGAAGAGAUAUUAAAGACCCGGCUUCUGAAACACACAAGACAACUUGCCAAGACUAUGUUAUAUAAUCUUUAGUGUUUCCCCUUAGAAACCGUGCCUUGCAAGGUUAGGAAGGAGGCUGCAGGAGGCAGAGAUGGAAACUUAGUAACAAAAGAAAGGCUGUUUUGCAGGGCACCUGGGAAAAGGAGUCAGAGAACCCUGGCUACUUCCAGUUAGGACUUCUACUCACAGAUACUUAGUCCCUCGUUCCUGGUGGUUUUCAGCAUCUGAGAAACCAUGCAUGCCACACACUGAUUGGAAGAAUUCCCCAGCAGGUUCCAGACUCAAUCUCUAUGCACUCUCCCGGGCCUGCAUUCGGCAAACCUUGGCUCUCAGAGAUGGCUGUAGGGUGCCACCUGCACAGUCGCACUCUGAUGACUUGCUAGCUUGUGAGAAUGUUGAAGUUCAAGGUAAUUCAAAAGCGAGUAUCUUUAUUUAUUUUAGGACAGGGUCUUACUGUGUAGUGGUGGCUAGUCGGUCUGACAUUGAACUCACAGAGACUCCCCUCAUCUCUGCCUCACAAGUGCUGAGAUUAAAGACACGUGCCAGCUGAGCCUUUUAUUUUUUACAGCAGAGUUCUAUGAUGGCAUACUUCUAUCCCGCAACUUGGACAUCUAAUAACCGUACUUUUUUUUUUUUUUUUGCAAUGGUAUAAACUCUGGGGUAAAUAUAAGCAAAGUACCUUUAGAUAACUCAAUUAAAAUAAUUUAGAAAUAAACAGCCAUAAUCCCUAAAAUGGUGGCCAGAUCACAUGUAAGUCUCAACAAGAUAAAAGACGCAAAGACAGUAUUUUAUAAUCCAUCACAGCACAGGUCUUUCUGAUAAAGGGAUACACAUUUUGUUAAAUUCUGCGAGGUUCUUGAGAGAUUUUGUGAAGAACAAAUAGUUUUAGGAAGUGCGUGGUCCUCAGCAUCUUUCCAAGAUGGUUGUUUUGUCCUGGGCUCCAUCUGCUGCACGGGAACAAGGAAAAAUCCACGUCUGCACACUACUCACUCCAUGUGGAGACUGUGGUACUUAGCACUCACACCCUAGGCCAGGUCUGAACCCUACUCCAUCGGGGUGGGGCCUGGCCUUCUGGGUGAGGCAGAAGAGCCAAAGCAGCCAGUGUCCACUACAGUGCUGCAAAGCUUGACUCCAAGCACGUGUGGGGCAGCCCUAGCCUGCUACCGCCGUACAAGCGCCCAGAGCGGACUUCCUAAACCACUCCAUUCAGAGUACAGUUCUAAAGGUGUGCGGAACAGUUCAACAAUGAACCAAGGGGAUGGCUCAGAGGUUAAGAGCACUGACUAUUCUUUCAGAGGUCCUGAGUUCAAUUCCCAGCAACCACAUGGUGGCUCACAACCAUCUGGAAUGGGAUCCAAUGUUCUUUCUGGUGUGUACGCAAAUAAAUAAAUAAAUAAAUCUUUAAAAAAAAAAAAAAGAACAGAAGGUUAAUGAUGAACUCAGGCAGCCAUGGAGACCAGCGUGGAAAGCCUCUACUGCCAGCCCUUACUCCACAGUCCCUUUCUCCCUCCUUCCCCUCUCUGUCCCAGUCUAUUCCUCCGAGUUCAUUUAGUCCCCUCCUUGCCCUUGCUUAGCGGGUGGCAAUCCUAGAAGCUACAUCUGUUUGAGGCGGUGGGUGGGAAUGCACACAAGUGACACAUUAGAUGAGGGAAAUCAAGACUCAAGAAAGGAAACUGCUCAGCUCAAGCACGCACACAGAGAACGGCACCCGGUGCUCCAAGGGUAGAAGGGAGUCCUUGGCUUCACUCAGCAGACCAGGUGAAGCAGAGGCCGCUGGUUUCGGGAUCGCGACCUGUCAGGUGCCUACAGGCGUGGCCAUCCCUUGUAUCAAGAUCUGAAGAGGGACUGGAGGGAUGGCUCACCGGCUGAGAGCUACUGCUCUUUCAGAAGAUACAGUUUGGUUCCCAGGACCCCACUGGGCGGCUCACAAGCUCACUCCACUGGGUGCUUGUGGCCUCUGUAGGCAAUGCACUCGCUGGCACAACUUAUACAUAUACACACACAAUACACAGAAAUCCACAGGCACAGUGUUCACGCGCACACACGCACUCUGAAAGAAAUGUCUUCCAUAGGUACUAAUAAGAACCUUUAUGGUGGCUCAUAACCACCUGUAAUGAGAUCUGAUGCCGUCUUCUGGUGUGUCGGAACACAGUGAGAGUGUACUCACAUACAUAAAAUAAAUCUUUUUUAAAAAGUGGGGGGAGUACGAGGUUUUUCCUAUUUUAGAGCAUCAUUUUGAGUUCUGUACAAGAAUCCUCACCCAAAACUGUUCCCAUUUCUAAACUGUAAAUGUUUGGCCCAAGCAUCGCUGUUUUGUGAUGUGAGGUUCACUCUCUCCCUGGCUUGGGAACACACUGUCAGUGUAGGUAACAUGCUGCUGUAAGCUGUAAGCUACACAGUGCAGUGCUUGAUCAUAUACAGUGCCUGGCCGGGCUGUGUUUCUGUUGCUUGUUUCCCCUGCAAAUGUAAAAUAAUAAACUACUUAUUGCAGGCUUAAAGGGUUUUGCUGUCAGGUUAGCCCAGGGGCCUACCACUGUGAAGUAUUACUGAUAGGUCUGUAAGCUUUAAAAAAAAAAAUGUCUCACGUAGUCAUAGAUUUUAAACACUUGAUUCCCUGUUGGCGACCCUUUGGGGACUCUAGAUGGUACAGCCUUGUUGCAGGAAGUGCAGUAACUGGGGGUAGGUUUUGAAAUUAAAAACCAGUCCCGCUCUUCAGAUCGGUCUCUCUGCACCAUGCUUGCACCAGGAGGCAUGAGAGUGCACACGAGCACACAUGCACACACAGGCACAUGCACACGCACACGCGCGCGCGCGCACACACACACACACACACACACACACGCUGCUGCUCCUGCUGCUCGCUGCCCCACUUCUCUCUGGAUUGCCUUGAGGAUGGGGCUUUAUCACAGCUUGCUCUCCCUGGUUUUUUAAAGUAGGAACCAAAACACCUUUCGCACAUUCAAGAGCCAAGGGCAUUGAUUCUGGCCAGCGUACAAUCAAUGGUUUCUUUCACGAGAAAGGACGGCAAGAUACUUAAAUACAAUCUUUGUUGGGGAGUCCAAACCACAAGCGUGUGAUGUUAUGAAGCCAAAUUGUAUUUUCUGGAAACAGUCCUCAGAACCAUUGGUCAGCAACCACUGAGGAGUCGAUAAACGGCAAUGAGCUCUGGUGUCUCCUCUUUUAAAAUGGGACAGGAGCGAGAACACAGAACGGGGCUUUACUGCUGAGUUUCUGUGGUUUCUGAGUGACAGUUUGGUGUAAGGAUCGCAAGUGUCAGUUCCCACGCGGUAUGCCCACCUGACCUCCCUUCCUCUGACAACAUCUCUGGGGGCACACAGUGUUUCUGAGCCUUCUUCAAAGCCACACAUCCAAAUUCUGUAACCUGAGGAGACAGGGUCUCUGGUGGGUAGUCAGGUCAUGGUGGCAUACUUAUGAACAGGACAACUGCCCUUUUAAGGGACCCCAGGGAACCAUCCUGUUCUUUUGUAACACAAGGACAUGGUUGGCUGGCAACAGCACCCUGGAGAACAACCACGUGCGUGGACACCUUGACCUGGGCCUUCCCGCUUCCAGAACUUUGGCAACCACUACGUUCAUAAACUGCCUGCCGAGGGUAUGACGUCCCAGCAGCCCAGACUAAAAACUACUCUUGCCCUGUACUUAAGGGGGUACUGGCACAUGACUCCAGGGGUUAGUGGACAAAGACUGGACGCUUGAUUCCAGCUGGGCCAGAAUCCAGAAAGUGGCUCAUCUGUGCUAAUAAGGGACAUUUCGGGAAAUGCAAAGGUCAGUCUGUCUUUCCAGACAAGUUUGCUAAACUGGUGGGGUGUAAAACCGGCGCUCUGAGCAGCAGGCUGCUUCAGGGAUACCUGCCUGAGACUAAAGAAGAAGACAGAUUCCUUAUGGGUACCCAGAACCAGCGUCCCUGAAGAAAAUGCCCAACCUGCUCUCACUAUGACUCAGGGACUUCCUUUCUACAGAAUCUGGUUCAAGGGAGAGAAUUUUGUCAUUUGCAGCUAAAAGAAAGAUGCGUGGUGGGGCUGGUGGGAUGGCUCUGUGAGGAAAGGUGUUUUCCCUGCCACCCCGGAGAUGCCAGCUCCAUGCCUAGAAACCACAUAAAGAUUGGUCAAGAAAACUGACUUCAUAAUGUUCUACACCUGUGUCACAACAGGCAGGGACGCUCGCCCAUAUACAACAGCAGACUCUCCUUUAAGGUUCCUUCUUUUAAUUCUAAAAGGAAGGGUUGAAGUGAUGGCUAAUCAGUUACGAGCCCUGGCUGCUCUUCCAGAGGACCCAGGUUAGAUUCCCAGUUACAGGGCAGCUCAUGACUGGCUGGAACCCCAAUCCUAUGGACCUGAUGCCUUUUAGCGUCUACUGGGCACUGGGCCUACAUAUACAUCAUGCACACAGGCAAAACAUUUAUACACAUAAAGUAAAGUUUAAUUUUUUUAAAAAAAGGUAUGAGAAGACUGUAAAAUGAUGGUCUUUUUGCUAAAUAUCAGGGAAGUUCUAUUUUUCACUUAUAAGUAAAAAUAUUCCCUAUUACUAACCAUAUUUUAGUACUACCCUUACGUUGCUAUAAUUUUCUCUAGAAAACCGGAUAAAUGCUGGCAGAAACAAGCUGCCGUGCUUAUGCAGAGCACAACUUGAUGCUCAUUAUCCACAGAAAUCAAAAAGAUGGCAAAGGCAGACUGUGCUCUGGCCUAGCUGCAGACCAUCUGUCAUCGAAUUUAUAUCUCGAAGAAUCUUAACUCUUCAAGCCUCGAGUUACAGCCGAAUGCUGUGGCACAAAGACACACCCCACAGAGCAGAAUCACAACAUACCACUAGAUCUGAAAAGGUGGCCUAGGAACUACCUUCUGACUCAUACCGUGGCCGACAGCAACAGAAGCCACGAGGCAGACAGGCCGACAGGCAAGCAGACAGACUCACAGAUACCUGAAGCAAAGGCACUUCCCAUGUGCACCGUGCUUUGAUUUUAAUCAUUGGUGGUGCUGACCCACCAAACGGACUUCCUGAACCCUUACAGCUUCGGGAGCUAGCUAGGUAAGGGAUGGAGACGCAGGGGUGUAAGGCAGUCCCUACUAGUUCAGUUAGUGGCAAAGUGAAGAUACAACCGCAGUACCCAUCUUACUGUAUGAUAUGACACGAGACAGCUGUCGCCUAUACACAUUCCUGGACAGCAAGCUCCCCCGCCAACCCUAAGAAACCUGGGAAGAUGAUCCACAUGUCUGACCUAAGCCACUCUCCAUGGGUACAGUGUCCAGGUUUUUAGGGCCUCCUCGAGACCACUUAAGAAGGAUUCACAUCCAGUGGAGACCUUGAACCGACCUCAGUGGGAGAUCAUGUGACGUCUGUGUCUAGACUGCCAAGAGACAAGAACAGACCUAAUGUAUAAAUAGGAUCAUGUUGGUUUCAAGCUUAAAGAAUAUUUUCACGUCAAGAUCCCGGCACUGUUUGCUGAGAAGCGUAAGGCUGAAAGAUAUCUUUCUUGGUGGGCAUCAAGCUUUACCACCUAGACCCUAUCAUGGCAGGGAGGGAAAGGGAAGGGAGCGGUAGCCACCCCUCGCACAGUCACCAGCCACUUCUCUAAUCCAGAUGCUGGAAAAGGUCAGGUUAGUGAGGAGGGGGCUGAGCCAAGCUCGGAGAAUAUGUGGACAGAAUUUAACAUGGAGAGUUGACGUAUGGAAGCUUCCCGAGUGGCUGCAAUACUAGAUCCCUAUUCAACAGCAAGUCAUAGACCUGGAUGGUGGUGGUAACGGGGUUGGGAUAAAACGGACAGAGGACACGGCUGUUAACAAAGAUGUUAACAAGUCUUAGUUUAAAAUAAUGGAACACCCUAUAUAUUUACACUUGCUUCCCACAAUACAAAAAAUGUUAAGCCUAUCAGCAGUUUAAUUACUAUAAACAUCUGCUCUCCCUGUAUUUACUUUCUACAACUUAGUUCUCCUCUGUUACAAGUUGCUUGGAACCCUGUAUACAGUAGAUGCUUCAGAACAGGUGGGUCCAUCUCUCCACAUGCUUUGUCUACUAUGCUUGCCUUAGACAACAAUGCAAAAUUAAACAAAGAAAAGAUACCAUACUGCCAAAAUUUUGGUUAAUUCAUAAGAAGGAUUUUUCUAAAAAUGAAGCAUUAAGAAAGAUCAAAGAACGAACCCCUUCCACGCCUGCAUUUUUUUUUUUUUUUUUUUUUGUGAAGGCCACUGUUUAUAAGCUAUCUUGUCAGUUUUAAAGAGUGACUUUCCAGACCGCAAAAGCAUCCUGUCUGCCUACUGUGUGGUCGCUCAAAUGUAAGAGCAGAGAUGCGAGAUGCCUACUGUGUGGUAACCCAAGUGUAAGAGCAGAGAUGCCUACUGUGUGGUAACCCAAGUGUAAGAGCAGAGAUGCCUACUGUGUGGUAACCCAAGUGUAAGAGCAGUGGGGAACAGCAAGAAGUCAUCUGGCUUCUGGGCUUUCGGGUGCUUUGCUGAAGGUGAGCCUGUUCAUACAGAUCUCUGCAGAUCUGAGCACCAAGACCCCCUCCAUCACACAAGGUGACAACACCCAUCUGUGUCACGUAGUAAGCUAAUAAGCACUUCCUAAAUGUGGCUGAUUUAACACGUGACCAUCAAUGUAACUUAAUACAUAUCAUCUAGAUUUCUCCCACUUUUAUUUAAAAUUACUUGAUGGCUGUCUGACCUUAUGUGAAAUACAUAUCUUAAAA